UGGGGCAUGGCCAAGUGGUAAGGCAACGGGUUUUGGUCCCGCUAUUGGGAGGUUUGAAUCCUUCCGUCCGAGAGCAUA
Molecule: transfer RNA, 78 nt
Filed under: Glycine max (soybean)
Lineage: Eukaryota; Viridiplantae; Streptophyta; Magnoliopsida; Fabales; Fabaceae
Also listed under: 1 other name
Description: tRNA-Gln
Rfam family: tRNA
About the family: Transfer RNA (tRNA) molecules are approximately 80 nucleotides in length.
Source: RNAcentral